GACGAACGCUGGCGGCGUGCUUAACACAUGCAAGUCGAACGGAAAGGCCCUGCUUUUGUGGGGUGCUCGAGUGGCGAACGGGUGAGUAACACGUGAGUAACCUGCCCUUGACUUUGGGAUAACUUCAGGCAACUGGGGCUAAUACCGGAUAGGAGCUCCUGCUGCAUGGUGGGGGUUGGAAAGUUUCGGCGGUUGGGGAUGGACUCGCGGCUUAUCAGCUUGUUGGUGGGGUAGUGGCUUACCAAGGCUUUGACGGGUAGCCGGCCUGAGAGGGUGACCGGCGACAUUGGGACUGAGAUACGGCCCAGACUCGUACGGGAGGCAGCAGUGGGGAAUAUUGCACAAUGGGCCGAAGCCUGAUGCAGCAGCGCCGCGUGCGGGAUGACGGCCUUCGGGUUGUAAACCGCUUUCGCCUGUGACGAAGCGUGAGUGACGGUAAUGGGUAAAGAAGCACCGGCUAACUACGUG
This 468-nucleotide ribosomal RNA is filed under the name uncultured bacterium. RNAcentral describes it as "partial 16S ribosomal RNA". It matches the Rfam family "Bacterial small subunit ribosomal RNA", at positions 28 to 507 of the family's 1533-position model. The record is from RNAcentral.